This 65-nucleotide transfer RNA is filed under the name Hydropsyche rhomboana. RNAcentral's name for it is "tRNA-His". The record is from RNAcentral. Lineage: Eukaryota; Metazoa; Arthropoda; Insecta; Trichoptera; Hydropsychidae.
AUUUAAAUAAUUUAAUUAAAAAUAUUGAUUUGUGGAAUCAAAUAUAUCUUUAUAGAUUUUAAAUA